RNAcentral lists this long non-coding RNA (767 nucleotides) under Gossypium barbadense (sea-island cotton). RNAcentral's name for it is "long non-coding RNA (GBAR_LNC019371)". Lineage: Eukaryota; Viridiplantae; Streptophyta; Magnoliopsida; Malvales; Malvaceae. The record is from RNAcentral.
CGAUUUCCGGCGAAGGGGGGGGUCACCGGACGGCCACCGGAGGCUCGCCGGCGCCGGCGCCGGCCACCGCGUGCGGUGGCCGGAAAGGUAAAAUUUUUUUAUUUUUUUUGUUAUUCCUUUUUUAUAAAUUUAUGCUAUGUAUAGAUAUAUAAUAGAUGAGUUUUCGAAUAAAAAUAAAAGAAACCUUAGAUCUCUGCCUUUUCCGUUUCGGGUCUUUUUCUUGCUUCAAUCUGCCUUUUUUUGUAUUCUAAGUAGUAUUACAACUGAAAAAUGAAAGGAAAAAAAUCCCCAGUUCCCAUCACCGAUUUCGGCUUUUAAAGCCAAUAUAUUUGUUUUGUUCCUUUUGUUUAUUGUUUUCCCCAUCAUUUGCAUGCUUUCCUUGCUGUGGUGUCUGUUCUUGUUGCAGGUGGUGGGCACGGUGGAGCAGGUGGGAGUGUCAGACGCGUGGGCGUCGUGGUGGCCAAGGCUGAGGCGUGCGAGCGUGAGGGGGACAGACGAGGCUGAGCGGCGCGCCCUAGGCAUGCUGCGCCUAGGGUUUUCUGCUGCAAACAUUUGUUUUUUUUUAUUUGGGCUAGGGUUUCUGCUGUUGGGCUAGGUAGUGGGUUGGUUUGUUAUUUUGUAAUUGGACUGUUGUUUAUUGUUUUAAUAUUCGGGCCUGGGCAUAAAAUUGGGCCUUACAGUCUCCAUGCCUCUGUUGAAAAGGAAAUGGCGAAUACAGGAAACAUGUACUUCAGAAGGCAGGGUGUUUUGGAGAAACUGUCCUUAAA